RNAcentral lists this long non-coding RNA (462 nucleotides) under Hordeum vulgare. RNAcentral's name for it is "long non-coding RNA (HVUL_LNC000427)". The record is from RNAcentral. Lineage: Eukaryota; Viridiplantae; Streptophyta; Magnoliopsida; Poales; Poaceae.
UAUGAGGCAAGGCUAUUAUCAUUAGAUUCAAGAGCCUACAGCCAGCAACACAAAGACACAGAAUCUAUAUUCAUUCCCACAAAAUUUCUAAUCACAAACAUCAAAAUCAGAGUGAAUGUACUAACAAAUCCACCCCCUUCAAUCUGCACAAAGUCCUAGUUAGCUCUUUCUGGCAUCAGAUCAGAUCAUACAUGUACAUUCCCCACCUCCUCACAAUUCCUCGCAUCCAUGCCACGCCAUGACCACCUCCCCAAGCUCCACCCUAAGAGCAGGGCGGCCGCGGCCACGGGAGCGGCGGGGCCGGCUUCCUCGCGCCCCGCCACGGCGGUGCGGGCCCGUCUCGCGGACGGCGGGCUUAGGCAGGGGGCACGGGGGGCUCCCCUUGGUCGGAGGGACACGCGAAGGAGAGGGAGGGCGGGGUCCGGCACCGGGUCGCCCGCAGCUCGCUGGCGGAGGCCGGGG